ACGCUCGACACCUACGGGGGCAGCAGUGGGGAAUAUUGGGCAAUGGGCGAAAGCCUGACCCAGCAACGCCGCGUGAGGGAAGAAGGUUUUCGGAUUGUAAACCUCUGUCCUCAGGGACGAAGGACGUGACGGUACCUGAGGAGGAAGCCCCGGCUAACUACGUGCCAGCAGCCGCGGUAAUCUGAGGCGGGCUGGCAAGGC
RNAcentral lists this ribosomal RNA (201 nucleotides) under uncultured bacterium. Its description in RNAcentral is "partial 16S ribosomal RNA". It matches the Rfam family "Bacterial small subunit ribosomal RNA", at positions 328 to 539 of the family's 1533-position model. The record is from RNAcentral.